Molecule: ribosomal RNA, 504 nt
Filed under: uncultured bacterium
Lineage: Bacteria
Description: bacterial SSU rRNA
Rfam family: Bacterial small subunit ribosomal RNA
Source: RNAcentral
UUCUGGCUCAGGAUGAACGCUGGCGGCGUGCCUAACACAUGCAAGUCGAACGGAAACUAGGCGCUUCGGAGGCUUCGGCCAAUGUUUGCUUAGUUUUAGUGGCGGACGGGUGAGUAACGCGUGGAUAACCUGCCUCAUACAGGGGGAUAACAGUUAGAAAUGACUGCUAAUACCGCAUAAGCGCACGGAAACGCAUGUUUCUGUGUGAAAAACUCCGGUGGUAUGAGAUGGAUCCGCGUCUGAUUAGCUAGUUGGCGGGGUAACAGCCCACCAAGGCGACGAUCAGUAGCCGGCCUGAGAGGGUGAACGGCCACAUUGGGACUGAGACACGGCCCAAACUCCUACGGGAGGCAGCAGUGGGGGAUAUUGCACAAUGGGGGAAACCCUGAUGCAAGCGACGCCGCGUGAGUGAAGAAGUAUUUCGGUAUGUAAAGCUCUAUCAGCAGGGAAGAUAAUGACGGUACCUGACUAAGAAGCACCGGCUAAAUACGUGCCAGCCGCGGC